GACGUAGGGCGCGAGCGUUGUCCGGAUUUAUUGGGCGUAAAGAGCUCGUAGGCGGCUUGUUGCGUCGACCGUGAAAACCCGUGGCUUAACUGCGGGCUUGCGGUCGAUACGGGCGGGCUGGAGUUCGGUAGGGGAGACUGGAAUUCCUGGUGUAGCGGUGAAAUGCGCAGAUAUCAGGAGGAACACCGGUGGCGAAGGCGGAUCUCUGGGCCAUUACUGACGCUGAGGAGCGAAAGCGUGGGGAGCGAACAGG
Molecule: ribosomal RNA, 253 nt
Filed under: uncultured bacterium
Lineage: Bacteria
Description: partial 16S ribosomal RNA
Rfam family: Bacterial small subunit ribosomal RNA
Source: RNAcentral